GGUGGCUCAGUGGUAGAGUACUUGCCUUGCAUGCAUGAGGCCCUGGGUUCGAUUCCUCAGAACCA
Molecule: transfer RNA, 65 nt
Filed under: Dipodomys ordii (Ord's kangaroo rat)
Lineage: Eukaryota; Metazoa; Chordata; Mammalia; Rodentia; Heteromyidae
Rfam family: tRNA
About the family: Transfer RNA (tRNA) molecules are approximately 80 nucleotides in length. Their secondary structure includes four short double-helical elements and three loops (D, anti-codon, and T loops). Further hydrogen bonds mediate the characteristic L-shaped molecular structure. tRNAs have two regions of fundamental functional importance: the anti-codon, which is responsible for specific mRNA codon recognition, and the 3' end, to which the tRNAs corresponding amino acid is attached (by aminoacyl-tRNA synthetases). tRNAs cope with the degeneracy of the genetic code in two manners: having more than one tRNA (with a specific anti-codon) for a particular amino acid; and 'wobble' base-pairing, i.e. permitting non-standard base-pairing at the 3rd anti-codon position.
Source: Rfam by way of RNAcentral